RNAcentral lists this ribosomal RNA (423 nucleotides) under Triticum aestivum (bread wheat). RNAcentral describes it as "partial small subunit ribosomal RNA". The record is from RNAcentral. Lineage: Eukaryota; Viridiplantae; Streptophyta; Magnoliopsida; Poales; Poaceae.
AUGGGUGCUGUUAUCAGGGAUGACAAAGGAAAUUUCAUUGUAGGUGGAAACUGCAAGAUUGAAUGUUGUGUGGAUGCUCUGACAGUGAAAGCGCUAGCACUUAGGUUUGGCCUAUUACUGGCACAAAAUGCGGGUUGCAAUCGCCUCAUUAUUUAUUCUGACAACAUGGAAGUAAUUAAUACAAUGAAGAACGGAGGUCAUUGUACAGGAGCGGCAGUUGCAAUUUUUUAGGAUUGCUUUUUUAUGGCUUGUGAAUUUCCUCUUACUAGUUUUCAACAUUGUAAUAGAGAAGCGAACAAAGUAGACCAUGAGCUUGCUAUAUUAGCAAGAUGUUCCAUGACUAGGGAUUGGAUUGAGGAGCCCAUGGAAAAAAUUGUAUCUCUCCUUAUAGACGAUGUAACCAUUAUCUCUAGCCAAAUAUGA